CCAGACUCCUACGGGAGGCAGCAGUAGGGAAUAUUGCACAAUGGGGGGAACCCUGAUGCAGCGACGCCGCGUGGGUGAAGGAGCACCUCGGUGCGUAAAGCCCUAUCGGCAGGGAAGAAAAGCGAACAGGUUCGCCUGGACGGUACCUGACUAAGAAGCCCCGGCUAACUACGUGCCAGCAGCCGCGGUAAUACGUAGGGGGCAAGCGUUAUCCGGAUUUACUGGGUGUAAAGGGGGCGCAGACGGCGAUGCAAGCCAGGAGUGAAAGCCCGGGGCCCAACCCCGGGACUGCUCUUGGAACUGCGUGGCUGGAGUACGGGAGGGGCAGGCGGAAUUCCUGGCGUAGCGGUGAAAUGCGUAGAUAUCAGGAGGAACACCGGCGGCGAAGGCGGCCUGCUGGACCGUGACUGACGUUGAGGCUCGAGAGCGUGGGGAGCAAACAGGAUUAGAUACCCCAGUAUC
RNAcentral lists this ribosomal RNA (462 nucleotides) under uncultured bacterium. RNAcentral describes it as "bacterial SSU rRNA". It matches the Rfam family "Bacterial small subunit ribosomal RNA", at positions 331 to 794 of the family's 1533-position model. The record is from RNAcentral.